Molecule: ribosomal RNA, 253 nt
Filed under: uncultured bacterium
Lineage: Bacteria
Description: partial 16S ribosomal RNA
Rfam family: Bacterial small subunit ribosomal RNA
Source: RNAcentral
UACGGAGGGGGCGAGCGUUAUUCGGAAUUAUUGGGCGUAAAGGGCGCGUAGGCGGCCCGGUAAGUCAAAGGUGAAAUCCCUCGGCUCAACUGAGGAACUGCCUUUGAAACUGUCGGGCUUGAGGCCGGGAGGGGGUGGCGGAAUUCCCAGUGUAGCGGUGAAAUGCGUAGAUAUUGGGAGGAACACCGGUGGCGAAGGCGGCUACCUGGACCGGUUCUGACGCUGAUGCGCGAAAGCGUGGGUAGCAAACAGG